AUUAUCGGCCUAAAGCAUGCUCCAAACGGUUAAAUAAUAACUUAAAAUAAGGAAGCAUCUUAAGGUCUAACUCAUUUUCACGUAAUUUCACCUCCCAUGUUCAAAAUCACAUGAGCCAAACAACAGGGAGCAGAUUAUCCAAAAGAAAACACAUGAAUUAUGAAAGAUCUAACAGUUAAUUGUUCAAAUACGGGACCAAUGAAUAACUAAUGGAAAAACAAAUAACUACUAUUUGAACAACUAGCAGACAAGAGACAUAUAGCAAAGUGAACAUGAAAUGAAGCGAUAAAAAUUGGCCAAUGUAACAGAGAAUCAGGUCUUCAACACCGUUUCAUAUUCGUCAACUUAAAGAUUACCCACAGCUAAGACUAAUUAAGUAUUUCUAUUAGAAUGAAACCUCAAAUUUAGUUAUAAUGUAGAAAGCAGUGUAAGCCAAGUCUAACAAUCAUCAAGAGAGCAGUAGUAUAUUUGUUCUAGGAAAUUAAUGAGAUCUAAAUGAGUCCAAGAUCAUCAACCAGAAAUCUCAAUGACGUAAAACCAUU
This 542-nucleotide long non-coding RNA is filed under the name Nicotiana benthamiana. RNAcentral's name for it is "long non-coding RNA (NBEN_LNC027875)". Lineage: Eukaryota; Viridiplantae; Streptophyta; Magnoliopsida; Solanales; Solanaceae. The record is from RNAcentral.